AUUGAACGCUGGCGGCAUGCCUUACACAUGCAAGUCGAACGGCAGCGCGGGAGCAAUCCUGGCGGCGAGUGGCGAACGGGUGAGUAAUACAUCGGAACGUGCCCAAUCGUGGGGGAUAACGCAGCGAAAGCUGUGCUAAUACCGCAUACGAUCUACGGAUGAAAGCAGGGGAUCGCAAGACCUUGCGCGAAUGGAGCGGCCGAUGGCAGAUUAGGUAGUUGGUGAGGUAAAGGCUCACCAAGCCUUCGAUCUGUAGCUGGUCUGAGAGGACGACCAGCCACACUGGGACUGAGACACGGCCCAGACUCCUACGGGAGGCAGCAGUGGGGAACUUUGGACAAUGGGCGAAAGCCUGAUCCAGCCAUGCCGCGUGCAGGAUGAAGGCCUUCGGGUUGUAAACUGCUUUUGUACGGAACGAAACGGUCUUUUCUAAUAAAGAAGGCUAAUGACGGUACCGUAAGAAUAAGCACCGGCUAACUACGUG
Molecule: ribosomal RNA, 484 nt
Filed under: uncultured bacterium
Lineage: Bacteria
Description: partial 16S ribosomal RNA
Rfam family: Bacterial small subunit ribosomal RNA
Source: RNAcentral